RNAcentral lists this ribosomal RNA (486 nucleotides) under uncultured bacterium. RNAcentral's name for it is "bacterial SSU rRNA". It matches the Rfam family "Bacterial small subunit ribosomal RNA", at positions 28 to 507 of the family's 1533-position model. The record is from RNAcentral.
GAUGAACGCUAGCUACAGGCUUAACACAUGCAAGUCGAGGGGCAGCGCAGUGUAGCAAUACACGGGCGGCGACCGGCGCACGGGUGCGUAACGCGUAUCCAACUUUCCCGUUACUCAGGGAUAGCCUUCCGAAAGGGAGAUUAAUACCUGAUGGUGUUUGAAGUUCGCAUGUUCUUCAAACUAAAGAUUUAUCGGUAACGGAUAGGGAUGCGUGACAUUAGAUAGUAGGCGGGGUAACGGCCCACCUAGUCUACGAUGUCUAGGGGUUCUGAGAGGAAGGUCCCCCACACUGGAACUGAGACACGGUCCAGACUCCUACGGGAGGCAGCAGUGAGGAAUAUUGGUCAAUGGUCGAAGGACUGAACCAGCCAUGCCGCGUGAAGGUGACGGCCCUAUGGGUCUUAAACUUCUUUUGUAAGGGAGCAAAUAAGGUGUACGUGUACAUCGAUGAGAGUACCUUACGAAUAAGCAUCGGCUAACUCCGUG